AGUGGACAUGAGGUGAACCACGUUGUUGAAAUUCAACACGGAUAGAGUUCAGCAUUUCAGGCCAUCUCAAAUCAGCAGAGCUAAAAGAUGCAAAAAAGCAUGCAAAGUAGGCCCACCAGUAGGAUAGAGGACAGGGAAACAUUUUGCUUCAUUGGUUUGAUCUGUUAGCAACCUAACAGGACUGUUGCCUUCACCUGGUGCCACAUUUAGGAUGUCCUGGAAAUGCUGAUCAAUUAUCUCUGAACCCAGAUCAACCGGCUGUAAUGAUGUAUCUGACAAAAGUCCAUUAUGUCCUU
Long non-coding RNA from Osmerus eperlanus (European smelt), 296 nucleotides. RefSeq lists it as uncharacterized. The transcript is spliced from 3 exons. The record is from RefSeq and is a predicted model, not a curated record. NCBI's taxonomy places the organism in Eukaryota, Metazoa, Chordata, Actinopteri, Osmeriformes, Osmeridae.